UUGACCUCGGAUCAGGUAGGAGUUACCCGCUGAACUUAAGCAUAUCAAUAAGCGGAGGAAAAGAAACCAACCGGGAUUGCCUCAGUAACGGCGAGUGAAGCGGCAAGAGCUCAAAUUUGAAAUCUGGCCCCUUUGGGGUCCGAGUUGUAAUUUGCAGAGGAUGCUUCGGGUGCGGUCCCCGUCUAAGUGCCCUGGAACGGGCCGUCAUAGAGGGUGAGAAUCCCGUCUGGGAUGGGCGGCCGUGCCCGUGUGAAGCUCCUUCGACGAGUCGAGUUGUUUGGGAAUGCAGCUCUAAGUGGGUGGUAAAUUUCAUCUAAAGCUAAAUACUGGCCGGAGACCGAUAGCGCACAAGUAGAGUGAUCGAAAGAUGAAAAGCACUUUGAAAAGAGAGUUAAACAGCACGUGAAAUUGUUGAAAGGGAAGCGUUGUCCACCAGACUCGCCCGGGGGGGCUCAGCCGGCACGUGUGCCGGUGUACUCCUCUCCGGGCGGGCCAGCAUCGGUUUGGGCGGCUGGUGAAAGGCCCCGGGAAUGUAACACCCUCCGGGGUGCCUUAUAGCCCGGGGUGCCAUGCGGCCAGCCUGGACCGAGGCCC
This 594-nucleotide ribosomal RNA is filed under the name Talaromyces funiculosus. Its description in RNAcentral is "eukaryotic LSU rRNA". It matches the Rfam family "Eukaryotic large subunit ribosomal RNA", at positions 1 to 597 of the family's 3401-position model. The record is from RNAcentral. Lineage: Eukaryota; Fungi; Ascomycota; Eurotiomycetes; Eurotiales; Trichocomaceae.